RNAcentral lists this unclassified non-coding RNA (2414 nucleotides) under Lingula anatina. RNAcentral's name for it is "sarcoplasmic calcium-binding protein-like, transcript variant X1". Lineage: Eukaryota; Metazoa; Brachiopoda; Lingulata; Lingulida; Lingulidae. The record is from RNAcentral.
AAAAACUAGUUUGGCGUACAUUUGAGUUGUGAGGCUGCAGAAGACGGUAGCUAAACACCAAUGGCGGGAACCAUGUUUUCCAAACGUCUUAUUCUAGGCGUGUUUUCUCGAGGCUUUUCACAGAAGGCAAUUUCUCUGAAAAUGACGCCUCAUGACUACCCAAUUGUAAAAGGAUCGGAAUACUGGAGGAGAAAAUUGCGCACUUUCUUUAAGGCGAUGGAUGCAACCAGAGACGGAUAUAUAACAAAGGAAGAUUAUGAAUUCAGUGCAUAUCGUCUGGCAAGUUAUAUGGGCCUCGAUGAAACAAAGGCAAAGGAGGUGCUGAAACUUCGCAUAGAAGUGUGGGAAGCAUUUAGCAAAGAUCCAAAGAAUUCUGAAGUGUACAAGAUAUCCGAAGACGAGUUCAUAUCCAACUACCUUGAUGUCAUCAAUACCAGUUUCCGUGACGCGCUUGUAGAUUUUGCCAGUCGUGAAUUCGAUGUUUAUGAUCUUGACGAAGACGGUUUCAUAUCAUCAAAGGAGCACAAAGCGUUUUUCUACAGUUGGAGAAUUCCGACGGAUUACUCGGCAGACACAUUUAAGGCACUGGAUACCGAUGGCGAUGGCUUGAUAAGCAGAGAUGAAUACAUCCAAGGCGCGGCUGAUUUCAUGUUUAGCGAAGAUGAAAACAGCCCUUACAAAAAUUUCCUGGGACCACUGUUAGAAUAGGAAAAUCACGAAACUUAGAAUCAGAGGUUUAAAACACCCCUGGUAUAGUAAACUUGAGGGCAAAUGCAAGCUAAAAAAAUGCAAGCGAAAACUAUUCUCUGAAAUGAAUUAACAUGAUUGACCAUGCAUCUAAUGUACAGGAGCACAUGGGAUGGUGAAUAUAACACAACAAAAACAAAGUUUGUGCUUUAAAAGUGUUUACUUUUUAUUGCACGAAUAUUAAUAUAUAUAUAUACUUAAAAAAAACUGGGAAAACUAUUUUUUAAAAGAUUCACAUAUAACAACGCAUUUAAUUUACCAUAAUGGAGAUAUUACUCUUGCCAUCGUCGUAAAAAUGUAAUUGCUGACCUGAAGCUGACAUGUUUUGUAUUUUUUAAUUUGUACUUUAUUUGUGACAUUACUACAUGUUUUGCACUCAUUACAGACAUCUCACGAUAACCCGAUUUUUAAGGGCUCGGAAUACUGGAUGGAGAAAUUCUUUCGGACAAAUUUAGGCGCGUUGCCAGCUAUGUGAACUUAAGUGGUAAGGUUUGGCAUGCAUUGAUGAUUGAAUUGCGUAUUUGCACUAUCAAAAUAACUUAUGGCAGUUAAUACAAACGAUUAUGAUCUUGACGGCGACGGUUUAUCUCCCCAAAGGAUCAUGGAGUGAUCAUGAAAACAAUUUGUUAUUUUGUCCCAACUGAUUCGUGUAAGAAAGGUCUUGAUUAUGAGAAGCUAAGAAAAUCAAAGCCCAUAAAUCAAAACAUAUAUCGGUACAGCUCCAUUCAAAAACUGUUGUUCAAGCAUACACCAAGGGAAGACGAAGACACAAACUCCCAUGACGUAUGUGGAUAAAAAACACAAAAAAUUGGACAGGAACAACAACCAGCAACUGUGCAGAGACAUCACGUGACCGAAGGGCUUGAGGUUCCGUUUGGGUCGAGCGUGAUUUUCGUUUAAUCAAAUUAUAAAUUCUGGAAGCUGUUGCUAAAGCUAUGAUUUUUAUGCUCAUUUCGUCAUCUCCAUCGUUUGGGCCAAGCACGGCGCCUGAUCGAUCAACCAUUUAUGCCUUUUGUUUAGACAAAUGGUAUAUUCUGGAAGCUGUUGCGAUAGGAAUGUUUUUUUUUUGUUCUAAGGGAUACUAUAAUAUAGUAAGUCACCAGAGAGUGACACAGCAAACUACAUGAAGACAUUUAUUUUAGUACACUGCAUCAGAUGUGCCUGUAGCAAUGUGAGGUCAUAUUAAACUUUCAGGUACUAUCAACAAUCUGCCUUGCUACACAGACAUUCCGUCACGUACAGAUACAUUAUGCCUGUUGACAGAUAAGGUGAAAAGGAUGUUGUAUUUAUAUAACCUGGAUAUUAUAUACCCACAUCACAUCAAGGUUUACCUUUAGUUGUCAUAAAAUUAUGUCAAAAAACCAUUGUGGUUUAGUUUGGCGUACAUUCGAGUUGUGAGGCUACAGCAGACGACAGCUAGACACCAAUGGCGGGAAUCACUUUUUCCAAACGUUUUAUUCUAAGCGUGUUUUCUCGAGGUUUUACAAAGAAGGCAAUUUCACCGAAAAUGACGCUUCAUGACUACCCAAAUGUUGAGGGAUCGGAAUACUGGAGGAGAAAAAUGCGCACUUUCUUUAAGGCGAUGGAUUCAACCAGAGACGGAUAUAUAACAAAGGAAGAAUAUAAAAUGAGUGCCCAUCGCCUUGCAAGUUAUUUGAACCUCGAUG